This 437-nucleotide ribosomal RNA is filed under the name uncultured bacterium. RNAcentral describes it as "bacterial SSU rRNA". It matches the Rfam family "Bacterial small subunit ribosomal RNA", at positions 43 to 474 of the family's 1533-position model. The record is from RNAcentral.
UGCGCUGCCUUCCAUGCAGUCGAACGGUAACGCGGGGCAACCUGGCGACGAGUGGCGAACGGGUGAGUAAUACAUCGGAACGUGCCCAGUAGUGGGGGAUAGCCCGGCGAAAGCCGGAUUAAUACCGCAUACGACCUACGGGUGAAAGCGGGGGAUCGCAAGACCUCGCGCUAUUGGAGCGGCCGAUGUCAGAUUAGGUAGUUGGUGAGGUAAAGGCUCACCAAGCCUUCGAUCUGUAGCUGGUCUGAGAGGACGACCAGCCACACUGGGACUGAGACACGGCCCAGACUCCUACGGGAGGCAGCAGUGGGGAAUUUUGGACAAUGGGCGCAAGCCUGAUCCAGCCAUGCCGCGUGCGGGAAUAAGGCCUUCGGGUUGUAAACCGCUUUUGUCUGGAAGAGAAACGUCUCCGGGCCGAUACCCUGGAGGUAGUGACG